CCUACGGGAGGCUGCAGUGAGGAAUAUUGGUCAAUGGACGAGAGUCUGAACCAGCCAAGUAGCGUGACGGAUGACUGCCCUAUGGGUUGUCAACUUCUUUUAUAUGGGAAUAAAACGUUCCACGUGUGGGAUUUUGUAUGUACCAUAUGAAUAAGGAUCGGCUAACUACGUGCCAGCAGCCGCGGUACUACGGAGGCUCCGAGCGUUAGCCGGAUUUCUUGGGUUUAAAGGGAGCGUAGGUGGAUUGUUAAGUCAGUUGUGAAAGUUUGCGGCUCAACCGUACAAUUGCAGUUGAAACUGGCAGUCUUGAGUACAGUAGAGGUGAGCGGAAUUCGUGGUGUAGCGGUGAAAUGCUUAGAUAUCACGAAGAACUC
This 374-nucleotide ribosomal RNA is filed under the name uncultured bacterium. RNAcentral describes it as "partial 16S ribosomal RNA". It matches the Rfam family "Bacterial small subunit ribosomal RNA", at positions 338 to 709 of the family's 1533-position model. The record is from RNAcentral.